RNAcentral lists this ribosomal RNA (515 nucleotides) under Crucibulum laeve. RNAcentral describes it as "partial large subunit ribosomal RNA". It matches the Rfam family "Eukaryotic large subunit ribosomal RNA", at positions 90 to 617 of the family's 3401-position model. Lineage: Eukaryota; Fungi; Basidiomycota; Agaricomycetes; Agaricales; Nidulariaceae. The record is from RNAcentral.
CGAGUGAAGCGGGAAAAGCUCAAAUUUAAAAUCUGGCAGUGGUUGUCCGAGUUGUAAUCUAGAGAAGUGUUACCCGCGUUGGACCGUGUACAAGUCUCCUGGAAAGGAGCAUCAUAGAGGGUGAGAAUCCCGUCUUUGACACGGACUGCCAGGGCUGUGUGGUGCGCUCUCAAAGAGUCGAGUUGUUUGGGAAUGCAGCUCAAAAUGGGUGGUAAAUUCCAUCUAAAGCUAAAUAUUGGCGAGAGACCGAUAGCGAACAAGUACCGUGAGGGAAAGAUGAAAAGAACUUUGGAAAGAGAGUUAAACAGUACGUGAAAUUGCUGAAAGGGAAACGCUUGAAGUUAGUCGCGUUGGCUAGAAAUCAACCCUUCCGUGUACUUUCUAAUCCACGGGUCAACAUCAAUUUUGAUUGGUGGAUAAAGGCUUAAGGAAUGGGGCAUCUUAGAUGUGUUAUAACCCUAGUUGGAUACACAGUUGGGAUUGAAGAACUCACACGCCCAAAGGGCGGGAUUCUU